AUCAAAUGGAGAGUUUGAUCCUGGCUCAGGAUGAACGCUGGCGGCAUGCCUAAUACAUGCAAGUCGAACGAAGUUUCGAGGAAGCUUGCUUCCAAAGAGACUUAGUGGCGAACGGGUGAGUAACACGUAGGUAACCUGCCCAUG
Molecule: ribosomal RNA, 144 nt
Filed under: [Clostridium] innocuum
Lineage: Bacteria; Bacillati; Bacillota; Clostridia; Eubacteriales; Clostridiaceae
Description: 16S rRNA. Bacterial SSU
Rfam family: Bacterial small subunit ribosomal RNA
Source: RNAcentral